GAGUCGAGCGACUUCUUUACNAGCUUGCUUUAGAGAAGUUAGCGGCGGACGGGUGAGUAACACGUGGGCAACCUGCCUGUAAGACUGGGAUAACUUCGGGAAACCGGAGCUAAUACCGGAUAAUAUAUAGUACCUCCUGGUACUAUAUUGAAAGUUGGUUUCGGCUAACACUUACAGAUGGGCCCGCGGCGCAUUAGCUAGUUGGUGAGGUAACGGCUCACCAAGGCAACGAUGCGUAGCCGACCUGAGAGGGUGAUCGGCCACACUGGGACUGAAACACGGCCCAGACUCCUACGGGAGGCAGCAGUAGGGAAUCUUCCACAAUGGACGAAAGUCUGAUGGAGCAACGCCGCGUGAGCGAUGAAGGCCUUCGGGUCGUAAAGCUCUGUUGUUAGGGAAAAACAAGUGCGAGAGUAACUGCUCGCACCUUGACGGUACCUAACCAGAAAGCCACGGCUAACUACGUGCCAGCAGCCG
RNAcentral lists this ribosomal RNA (477 nucleotides) under Bacillus sp. PASCW10. Its description in RNAcentral is "bacterial SSU rRNA". It matches the Rfam family "Bacterial small subunit ribosomal RNA", at positions 59 to 517 of the family's 1533-position model. The record is from RNAcentral. Lineage: Bacteria; Bacillati; Bacillota; Bacilli; Caryophanales; Bacillaceae.